This 274-nucleotide ribosomal RNA is filed under the name uncultured bacterium. Its description in RNAcentral is "partial 16S ribosomal RNA". It matches the Rfam family "Bacterial small subunit ribosomal RNA", at positions 523 to 796 of the family's 1533-position model. The record is from RNAcentral.
CUACGGAGGGUGCAAGCGUUACUCGGAAUCACUGGGCGUAAAGCGCGCGCAGGCGGCUAUUUAAGUUGGAUGUGAAAGCCUACGGCUCAACCGUAGAACUGCAUCCAAAACUAUUUAGCUAGAGUGUGGGAGAGGAAGAUGGAAUUAGUUGUGUAGGGGUAAAAUCCGUAGAGAUAACUAGGAAUACCAAAAGCGAAGGCAAUCUUCUGGAACAUUACUGACGCUGAGGCGCGAAAGCGUGGGGAGCAAACAGGAUUAGAAACCCUAGUAGUCC